This 396-nucleotide ribosomal RNA is filed under the name Triticum aestivum (bread wheat). Its description in RNAcentral is "partial small subunit ribosomal RNA". The record is from RNAcentral. Lineage: Eukaryota; Viridiplantae; Streptophyta; Magnoliopsida; Poales; Poaceae.
AUGUUGUUGCUAGGAGACCUUAACUAUGGCUCAUCGAUCAUUUCAUUUCUUGUUGAGGUCGAUCCCCGCCUUCUUGGCGACGGCGUCGAGGCCGUGCUUCUCGAUGGUCUUGAGGGCCUUGGUGGAGAGCCUGAGCUUGACGUAGCGCUUGCCGGCCUCCCACCACAGCUUCUUGUACUGCAGGUUCACAAACUGCUGCUUCUUGGUCUUGUGGGAGACCGCGGCCGUGGAGGUGAGGCCGAGGCUGAGGCUGAGGCCGGCGAGCUGCGAGGUGGCGAACCCGACCGAGGUGGCGUAGGAGCUAGCGCUGGACCGGAGGAGCGGAGCCCUGGCGGCGGCGGGCAUGGAGACGGAGUAGGAGCAGAGCAUGGACGCCAUGGAUGGAUGCAGCGCUGA